GGGCUUACUUUGGCAGCACAUAUUACUAAAAUUGGAACAAUAUAGAGAUUAGCAUGGCCCCUGUGCAAGGAUGACACAGAAAUUAAUGUAUAGUCUCAAUAGUUU
This is a small nuclear RNA of Ursus americanus (American black bear), 105 nucleotides long. NCBI's taxonomy places the organism in Eukaryota, Metazoa, Chordata, Mammalia, Carnivora, Ursidae. The record is from Ensembl.